RNAcentral lists this transfer RNA (85 nucleotides) under Pyrinomonadaceae bacterium. RNAcentral's name for it is "tRNA-Leu". It matches the Rfam family "tRNA". Rfam says of the family: Transfer RNA (tRNA) molecules are approximately 80 nucleotides in length. Their secondary structure includes four short double-helical elements and three loops (D, anti-codon, and T loops). Lineage: Bacteria; Pseudomonadati; Acidobacteriota; Blastocatellia; Blastocatellales; Pyrinomonadaceae. The record is from RNAcentral. RNAcentral also lists the same sequence under 1 other name.
GCCGAGGUGGCGAAAUUGGCAGACGCACCAGACUUAGGAUCUGGCGUUGAAAGACGUGCGAGUUCGAGUCUCGCCCUCGGCACCA